GGCUAGCUAUAUGCUGCGGCUCUGCCCGGUAUAUGGUUUAGUCAUCCGUAAGGGAAGCCAGUUCGGCCUUCACUGGUCGGCUGGGGGAACUUACAAUUUACUGUGAGAAAAUUAGAGUGUUUAAGGCAGGCAAUCGCUUGGAUACUCCAGCACGGAAUAAUGGAAUAGGACUUUAGUCGAUUUGUUGGUUUGAGGCUAAAGUA
This 203-nucleotide ribosomal RNA is filed under the name uncultured fungus. RNAcentral describes it as "partial small subunit ribosomal RNA". The record is from RNAcentral. Lineage: Eukaryota; Fungi.